This 254-nucleotide ribosomal RNA is filed under the name uncultured bacterium. RNAcentral describes it as "partial 16S ribosomal RNA". It matches the Rfam family "Bacterial small subunit ribosomal RNA", at positions 524 to 776 of the family's 1533-position model. The record is from RNAcentral.
UACGGGGGGAGCAAGCGUUGUUCGGAUUUACUGGGCGUAAAGGGCGCGUAGGCGGCCACCGCAAGUCGGUUGUGAAAUCUCCGGGCUUAACCCGGAAAGGUCAAUCGAUACUGCGGGGCUAGAGUGCAGAAGGGGCAACUGGAAUUCUCGGUGUAGCGGUGAAAUGCGUAGAUAUCGAGAGGAACACCUGCGGCGAAGGCGGGUUGCUGGGCUGAUACUGACGCUGAGGCGCGAAAGCGUGGGGAGCAAACAGG